Vombatus ursinus (common wombat) is the source of this 1123-nucleotide long non-coding RNA. RefSeq lists it as uncharacterized. NCBI's taxonomy places the organism in Eukaryota, Metazoa, Chordata, Mammalia, Diprotodontia, Vombatidae. The record is from RefSeq and is a predicted model, not a curated record. The transcript is spliced from 2 exons.
UUGAGCCUCAGUUUCCUCAUCUGUAAAAUGAGGGGGUUGGGCCAGAUGGUUCCUAAGAUGUAUUUUAAUUUUAGAUCCAUGAUUCCAUUAUCUCAGUUUGGGAAGCUUUAGAUUUGAGGAACCCAAGGUCUCCUCUCAGAGAAUUCUGAUGGUCUGGCUACAGACAGUAUCCAGAGUUGAGAAACAGAGGUUCUCUUACCCUAGAUCUAUACCACACUGUGCCUCAAUGUGACCAUAGAGCAUACGGGGACUUGAAAUACAUAAACAGAGCCCACGAAUUCUGGCCAGAGGAGUCCAGAAGUAUGACUAAAAGGGAGGGAGGAUGCAGUGUGAAGGAAGGUGAUUUGUGUGUCUCAGUCACAGGGUAUAAGGAGGAUAGUGGAGCAUAAGUGGCCAGCGUGGUGUCGGGAAUAGUGGGGAAGGACUGCUGGAGAGAUGAGACACGUGACAUGGGAUAUACAUGAGACGCUGGGUGAGAGCCAGAACUCAGGUGGGGCAAUUGGGGCGUUAGCCCAGGGAACCUGUAUGUGCAGUUCUUCAGCGGCACAGAUUCAACAGACCUCAGCACUUCCUUUGUGGGGAAAGGGAGUUGUUUUCCAGACCCAUGAUGGUGUCUGUGUAGAGAACCCCUGGGGAGGAGCUCCCUUCACCAAUGAAGCAGCAGCUGCCUGUAACAUUUAGUCUGGGAGAGUUACCAGAAGACAACCAGUCAGCAAGAGCUUGCUAGAGCAUGGAGCACAGGAAGCUACCAGAUGGUGACUGAGGUUGGUCAAGGGGAAGUUUCCUCUCAGCCCACUAUGAUCUGAGGGCAGAAGACCAUAGAGUUGCUCUUCUAUCAAGAUGCUUUCUGAUUGGCUGAAAAUGAGGCUGGGCUUGGCUAAACAGUCAGGGAAUGAGUGAGCUCUGGAGAGCUCAAGCGGGUCAAUCUCCAACUUGGUUUGGGGCAUGUUUAUUCUCCUGGGGUUACAGGUGGGAGGGAAGAUAAAGGGAAGAGGAGAGAGUGACAGUUAAGGAGUAAUCAGAGUAGCCAGGUUGGAUCUGGGAGAAACUGAGGAAUUACCUUGCCAACAUAUUGUUUUUGAAUCUGUAUGUUCAACUUCCCUUGAUAAAUCCUGGAAAAUAC